RNAcentral lists this ribosomal RNA (496 nucleotides) under uncultured bacterium. Its description in RNAcentral is "partial 16S ribosomal RNA". It matches the Rfam family "Bacterial small subunit ribosomal RNA", at positions 28 to 506 of the family's 1533-position model. The record is from RNAcentral.
GAUGAACGCUGGCGGCGUGCCUAAUACAUGCAAGUAGAACGCUGAAGCUUGGUGCUUGCACCGAGCGGAUGAGUUGCGCACGGGUGAGUAACGCGUAGGUAACCUGCCUCUUAGCGGGGGAUAACUAUUGGAAACGAUAGCUAAUACCGCAUAAAAGUCGAUAUCGCAUGAUAUUGAUUUGAAAGGUGCAAAUGCAUCACUAAGAGAUGGACCUGCGUUGUAUUAGCUAGUUGGUGAGGUAACGGCUCACCAAGGCGACGAUACAUAGCCGACCUGAGAGGGUGAUCGGCGACACUGGGACUGAGACACGGCCCAGACGCCUACGGGAGGCAGCAGUAGGGAAUCGGCGGCAAUGGGGGCGACCCUGACCGAGCAACGCCGAGUGAGUGAAGAAGGUGUUCGGAUCGUAAAGCUCUGUUGUAAGAGAAGAACGGGUGUGAGAGUGGAAAGUGCACACUGUGACGGAAACUGACCAGAAAGGGACGGCUAACUACGG